Molecule: ribosomal RNA, 136 nt
Filed under: Danio rerio (zebrafish)
Lineage: Eukaryota; Metazoa; Chordata; Actinopteri; Cypriniformes; Danionidae
Source: RNAcentral
ACUCAACUAAUCUGUUGUGGAAAUUCCAUACAUUCUGAGGUAAAGAAUCACGUGGUCGCCCACAGAAGUUAAGCAGGACUGCGCACGGUUAGUACCUGGAAAGGAGACCGCAUGGGAAAGGUUGCUGCCGGAAGUG